AUUGCAAAUAAACCCCUCAACUUUCACUUUAAUACACUGCCCGAACUGGGCUGAUCGCGCAGGCGGGGACCGGUCUCUCCUUCAGGGACCGGUUCCCGAAGGUCGUCCCAGCGCAGCCAGAGCUGCCGCGCGCAGUGCAACCGGUCUCUCUCUGGGGGACCGGUCUCUCGGGGACCGGUCUUUCGGGCAGGGACCGGUUCCCGAGAGCUGCUCUCUCAGGACUUAGCCGAUUUUUCGGCUGUCUCAUUUCUCACGCGUUCGGGAACCGGUCUCUCCCACCAGGGACCGGUCCCC
RNAcentral lists this long non-coding RNA (294 nucleotides) under Ananas comosus (pineapple). RNAcentral describes it as "long non-coding RNA (ACOM_LNC034708)". The record is from RNAcentral. Lineage: Eukaryota; Viridiplantae; Streptophyta; Magnoliopsida; Poales; Bromeliaceae.